ACAAGAGCCUCACUUGGACCAGAGAGAGAGAGAGAGAGAGAGAGAGAGAGAGAGAGAGGAGAGAGAGGCUUACUUCAACUCAGCAGGCUACUCUGAGUGUCUGGCCAGGUAUAGAGGGGAAGGUAGUGGCUGUCGCUGGAAGAAGGAAAGUGGACUCCGGCUCAGAUGACCAUGAUAAAGCUUGGUUUCCUGCUGUUUAUCAUUGUGGUCACCAGAAGUUGCAGUGCAUUUAAAGAGAACCCGGACACCAACAGCCGGGCCAAUCCUGUGUCUUCCUCUCUGUUCAGAAGCUGCAAGGAAAUUAAGCAGGAGGUCACUGGGGCACGAGGUGA
This is a non-coding RNA of Myodes glareolus (Bank vole), 332 nucleotides long. The record is from RefSeq and is a predicted model, not a curated record. NCBI's taxonomy places the organism in Eukaryota, Metazoa, Chordata, Mammalia, Rodentia, Cricetidae.